UGGUGGGGUAAUUGCCUACCAAGCCUAUGACGGGUAGCUGGUUUGAGAGGAUGAUCAGCCAGACUGGGACUGCGAUACGGCCCAGACUCCUACGGGAGGCAGCAACUAGGAAUCAUGCGCAAUGGACGAAAGUCUGACGCUGCGACGUCGCGUGAGGGAUGAAGGUCUUCGGAUCGUAAACCUCUUUUAUCUGGGAACAAGUUCUGAGUGUACCAGAUGAAUAAGUGCCUGUCAACCACGUGCCAGAAGCAUCGGUGAUGCGUGUGGCACGAGCGUGAUCCGGAUUUACGUGGGCGUAAAGAGAUGCGUAGGCGCCUUUUGAAGUCACUUGUAAAAUCUCGCCGCUCAAGGGGGAAACUGCAAGUGAUACUGAAUUGGUUGACUCAAGUAGAGGAGAGGGGAAUUCCUGGUGGAGCGGUUACGAUGCGUUGAUAUCACGAGGAAUACCAUGUGCGAAGGCACCUCUCUGUACUUGUACUGACGCUAAGGCUCGAAAGUGUGGGGAGCAAAACGGAUUAGAUACCCGUGUAGUCCACAUUGUACACGAUCCCUGCUAGAUCUAUGC
RNAcentral lists this ribosomal RNA (565 nucleotides) under uncultured organism. RNAcentral describes it as "bacterial SSU rRNA". It matches the Rfam family "Bacterial small subunit ribosomal RNA", at positions 250 to 827 of the family's 1533-position model. The record is from RNAcentral.